Molecule: ribosomal RNA, 1987 nt
Filed under: Scinaia capensis
Lineage: Eukaryota; Rhodophyta; Florideophyceae; Nemaliales; Scinaiaceae
Description: partial 28S ribosomal RNA
Rfam family: Eukaryotic large subunit ribosomal RNA
Source: RNAcentral
CGGAGGAAAAGAAACUAACAAGGAUUCCCCUAGUAGCGGCGAGCGAAGCGGGAACAGCCCGGUGUGAAAAUCUCUUCGGAGAAUUGUAUUCGAGUGUCCUUGGGUGGUCAGUGCGGGCAAGUCGCUUGGAAUGGCGCGCCAUGGAGGGUGAGAGCCCCGUCCAUCCCGCACAGGAUCCAUCCGCACGAGGGCGCUUCAACCGAGUCGGGUAGCUUGGGAAUGCUGCUCUAAUUGGUGGUAAAUCUCAUCAAAGGCUAAAUAGUGGUGGGAGACCGAUAGCGAACAAGUACCGUGAGGGAAAGAUGGAAAGUACUUUGAAAAGAGAGUGAAAAGAACUUGAAACCGUCACGGGGGAAGCGAAUUGCGUGAGUGGUGGUACCGCUUGUUCAGCGCCUUUGGCGUGCAUUCUGGCGGUACCUUGUCGUCGUGGCUGGCUGGUGUGUGAAUUUGACACGCCGGCUGGUGAGGGCUCCCUUUUCUGGUGAGGACGACGACAAAAUGACGCAAUACGACCCGUCUUGAAACACGGACCAAGGAGUCUAGCACGGCUGCGAGUCGAAGGGUGUAAAACCCAAGGGCGCAGUGAAAGCGAAAUCAUAAGCAAGUUGGGGAGGCGUUGCGUUUUUAACAAAAUGUCCUACCUUGAGCACUUGUGCUGGGACCCGAAAGAUGGUGAACUAUGCCGGAGUAGGGCAAAGCCAGAGGAAACUCUGGUGGAGGCUCGUAGCGAUGCUGACGUGCAAAUCGCUCGUCGAACUUGGGUAUAGGGGCGAAAGACUAAUCGAACCAUCUAGUAGCUGGUUCCCUCCGAAGUUUCUCUCAGGAUAGCGGGCCGACAUAUGUUGUUUUGUGCGGUAAAGCGAAUGAUUAGUGCAUUUGGGGUCCGAAGGACUUCAGGCGAUUCUCAAACUUUAAAUGCGCAAGGGGGUGGCUGCUUAAUUGAGCCUACUCUUCGAAAAACGUCGGCCCUGUGGGCCACUUUUGGUAAGCAGAACUGGCGAUAAGGGAUGAACCUUAAGCGCGGUUAAGGCGCCGCAUUGCCCGCUUAUAGACCCCACAAAAGGUGUUGAUUCAUUUAGACAGCAGGACGGUGGCCAUGGAAGUCGGAAUCCGCUAAGGAGUGUGUAACAACUCACCUGCCGAAUGAAUUAGCCCUGAAAAUGGAUGGCGCUGAAGCGGGCAGCCGACACCGCGCCGUUCCGGCGAGACGAUGCCGGGAUGAGUAGGAGGGCGUGGCGGUCAGUGACGCAGGCGAGGGUGCAGACCCCGCUGAAACGGCCGCUAGUGCAGAUCUUGGUGGUAGUAGCAAAUAUUCAAGCGAGAUCCUUGAAGGGCGAAGCGGGGAAGGGUUCCACGCAAACAUUGAUUGGGCGUGGGUGAGUCGUUCCUAAGCCGAGUGGCAAUUGCUAAGUAGCGGCGAAAGGGAAGCGGGUUAAAAUUCCCGCACACGGAUAUGGAGGCGGCGACGCAAGCAGAGCUGAAUACGCUGGCGAGGGCGCCGGGCAGAGUUGUCUUUUCUGUUUGACCGGCAUCGCGCAGUGUGGAAUCCGCUUAUCGGGAGAAACACGCGCGGGGAGGGGCAGAGCGUCAGGUCUUUUCUGGCGUCCGGCUCGCCCUCGACGGCCCCUGAAAAUUCAGCCGCGAACUUAAUUUCAUGCUGUGACGUACCGAUAACCGCAUCAGGUCCCCAAGGUGAACAGCCUCUGCUCAAUAUGAACAAUGCAGGUAAGGGAAGUCGGCAAAAUAGACCCGUAACUUUGGGAAAAGGGUUGGCUCUAGUGGAGCGGGGGUUUUCAAAGGGUGCUCACCUGUGCUUGUCGCAGGGCGAUCGUGGCUAGCUUUCGCUGGAAACUUUUGCUCAGCGGCUUGCGCGGGGGACGCUACUCGCCCUCAGCAUGCUCCAGACUAGAACUGCAACGGGCAAAGGGAAUCCGACUGUUUAAUUAAAACAAAGCAUUGCGAAGGCCGUGGCCGGUGAUGACGCAAU